GAAGCAAGCCAGACAGCCGCUGGCCGGUGCAGCAAUGCACUGGCGGGAGGAAGGUCCGGACUCCAUAGAGCAGGGUGACGGUUAACGGCCGUCCGCCGAAGUCCGCAAGGUAUAAGGCGAGGAAUAGGGCCACAGAGACGAGCGUAUUAAGUUACGGUGAAACGCGGUAACCUCCACCUGGUGCAAUUUCAAAUAGGCACGCGAUGAUGUUGCUCGCGGAGCGUGCGGGUAGAAAGCUUGAGCGCCGGAGUAAUUCGGCGCCUAGAGGAAUGGCUGUCAUAGCGCCGGUUCGCAAGGGUCGGCGCCGUAACAAAAUCCGGCCUAUCGGCUUGCUUCACUU
This 340-nucleotide RNase P RNA is filed under the name Pseudoduganella violacea. RNAcentral's name for it is "RNase P class A". It matches the Rfam family "Bacterial RNase P class A". From Rfam's summary of the family: Ribonuclease P (RNase P) is a ubiquitous endoribonuclease, found in archaea, bacteria and eukarya as well as chloroplasts and mitochondria. Its best characterised activity is the generation of mature 5'-ends of tRNAs by cleaving the 5'-leader elements of precursor-tRNAs. Lineage: Bacteria; Pseudomonadati; Pseudomonadota; Betaproteobacteria; Burkholderiales; Oxalobacteraceae. The record is from RNAcentral.